AUGGAACUGGACAAUUUGGACAGAAAAACAAGAAAACUCAUGACCAUUCAUCACUCACUGCACCCUCGCAGUGAUGUUGACCGGCUAUAUCUGCCUAGAAGAUCAGGGGGCAGAGGACUCUUACAAGUAAAACAAGCAGUCAAAGAAGAAGAACAUGCCCUGGCAGAAUAUGUAAAGCAAAGUGAAGAACCUGCUUUGACUGAAGUCAAAAAUCAGAAACUCCUCAAAGCACAGCAGACAAAAAACCAGUACAAGAAAGCCACACUACAAACUAGAGCUGACAGCUGGCACAACAAAACAUUGCAUGGAAAGUUCCUUGACAAAAUCGAAAGAAAAGCUGACAAGGAGAAGACCUGGCUAUGGCUCACGAAUGGGACCCUGAAGAAGGAGACAGAAGGCCUGAUCCUUGCAGCCCAGGAGCAAGCCAUCAGAACAAAUACAAUUAAGGCCAAGAUCGAAAAAUCAGCUGAUGACCCAAAAUGCAGACUGUGCAAGGAAACCGACGAAACCAUUGAUCAUAUCCUCAGCUGCUGUAAGAAAAUUGCACAGACAGACUACAAACAGAGGCACAACUAUGUGGCCCAAAUGAUUCAUUGGAACUUAUGCCUCAAGUACCACCUCCCAGCAGCAAAGAACUGGUGGGAUCACAAACCUGCAAAAGUAUUGGAAAAUGAGCAUGCAAAGAUACUGUGGGACUUCCGAAUCCAGACUGACAAAGUUCUGGAACACAACACACCAGACAUCACAGUGGUGGGAAAGAAAAAGGUUUGGAUCAUUGAUGUCGCCAUCCCAGGUGACAGUUGCAUUGACGAAAAACAACAGGAAAAACUCAGCCGCUAUCAGGACCUCAAGAUUGAACUUCAAAGACUCUGGCAGAAACCAGUGCAGGUGGUUCCGGUGGUGAUGGGCAGACUGGGUGCCAUGCCAAAAGAUCUCAGCCGGCAUUUGGAAACAAUAGACAUUGACAAAAUUACGAUCUGCCAGCUGCAAAAGGCCACCCUGCUGGGAUCUGCGCACAUCAUCCGAAAAUACAUCACACAGUCCUAG
This 1047-nucleotide long non-coding RNA is filed under the name Anolis carolinensis (green anole). RNAcentral describes it as "lncRNA (ENSACAG00000038944.1)". The record is from RNAcentral. Lineage: Eukaryota; Metazoa; Chordata; Lepidosauria; Squamata; Anolidae.